GCUAAUUUUCCGCAUUACUAAACAAGUUCUAUAAAAGGCAAUACACCCAAAGGGUUUAAAUCAAUUCUAAGUGGCAUUAGUAAUGCGUCUGUGCCUCAUUUGCAGCGUUUAUUCCGCACCACAAUACACUAAAGAUCCCUUCUCUCAUGAAGAUGGAUUCUGGGGUUGAAGUGAAGUUGCUUCAUAAUUUAAAGUACGAAAUUAAUUUGAUAGAAGAGCUGUUAUUUUUUAUACUUAAAGUGCGUAAUAAACACAUGUUAGUUUUGUAA
This is a long non-coding RNA of Drosophila nasuta, 269 nucleotides long. RefSeq lists it as uncharacterized. Lineage: Eukaryota; Metazoa; Arthropoda; Insecta; Diptera; Drosophilidae. The transcript is spliced from 2 exons. The record is from RefSeq and is a predicted model, not a curated record.